AGGAAAUGGAAUGACUCGUCGACUGCCCCAGGCAUUUUCAGCAACAACAGCACCACCUGCAGGAUCUGCGGGGACAGGCUGAUUGAUCGGGAGCUGGAGUUCUGGAGGGGAUUCUGAGGAAGGGAACCGGGUCAUCAUCUCUUGACCUUUCAUCUUACAAAGGAGCAACGUGAGACUGAGAAAGGAACCCACAGUCACCACGGGCACUGGUUUCUCUUUUGGGGUUGGCUCUUGACCUUGGAGCUCCCCCAGAAGAUCAAGAGUGGCCAGCCUUGACCUGUUGAAGGAAUUGUCUGCCAAACCUAGAGGGGAAGCCACUGCAGCUCGGAGAAGAGGCUGCUCCUCUCACAGAUGGCAACCCCCUCCUCCAGCUUACCCGAGUCUCACCAUCGAAGGGCCCUUGGUUGACCAGAAGAAAAUGCUGUGUUUGUGUCUGCUGCUUACCUGUGCUCCAAAGCAAGGUCACCCUGCCUCUCAGUAGCUC
Talpa occidentalis (Iberian mole) is the source of this 484-nucleotide long non-coding RNA. RefSeq lists it as uncharacterized. The record is from RefSeq and is a predicted model, not a curated record. The transcript has 4 exons. NCBI's taxonomy places the organism in Eukaryota, Metazoa, Chordata, Mammalia, Eulipotyphla, Talpidae.